UGUCCACAGUGAAGACCAGAGUUUCGUUGUCCUCAAGACUGACCUGGGGGGACGUGGCUGCGGGCCAGUGAGGAAGAAAGGUGAGACAACUUGAAGAGAAGGCCAGACAGGGAGCUUCCAGGUCAUAGACAGGUGACUCUCAGAGGGAGUCCUGUGUUGGAGACAAGCAUUCUGACCUGUAGCU
Molecule: long non-coding RNA, 184 nt
Organism: Piliocolobus tephrosceles (Ugandan red Colobus)
Lineage: Eukaryota; Metazoa; Chordata; Mammalia; Primates; Cercopithecidae
Exons: 3
Source: RefSeq, a predicted model, not a curated record